Molecule: ribosomal RNA, 450 nt
Filed under: uncultured bacterium
Lineage: Bacteria
Description: partial 16S ribosomal RNA
Rfam family: Bacterial small subunit ribosomal RNA
Source: RNAcentral
GUGGGGAAUAUUGCACAAUGGGGGAAACCCUGAUGCAGCCAUGCCGCGUGUGUGAAGAAGGCCUUCGGGUUGUAAAGCACUUUCAGCGAGGAGGAAAGGUCAGUAGCUAAUAUCUGCUGGCUGUGACGUUACUCGCAGAAGAAGCACCGGCUAACUCCGUGCCAGCAGCCGCGGUAAUACGGAGGGUGCAAGCGUUAAUCGGAAUUACUGGGCGUAAAGCGCACGCAGGCGGUUGGAUAAGUUAGAUGUGAAAGCCCCGGGCUCAACCUGGGAAUUGCAUUUAAAACUGUCCAGCUAGAGUCGUGUAGAGGGGGGUAGAAUUCCAGGUGUAGCGGUGAAAUGCGUAGAGAUCUGGAGGAAUACCGGUGGCGAAGGCGGCCCCCUGGACAAAGACUGACGCUCAGGUGCGAAAGCGUGGGGAGCAAACAGGAUUAGAUACCCCUGUAGUCC